Molecule: long non-coding RNA, 1803 nt
Organism: Diceros bicornis minor
Lineage: Eukaryota; Metazoa; Chordata; Mammalia; Perissodactyla; Rhinocerotidae
Exons: 3
Source: RefSeq, a predicted model, not a curated record
AGCUUGCCGUGGAGGGCCCAGGUCAUAGCAAUGACAGCUUCAGUGCCUUCGCUGCCUUUUUCUUGGAUCCUCCGCCAAAGAGAGUUUGCCAUGCUGAGAUGGGCGUGGGUGCCGGCUGUGGUGACGGCGUGCUGCCACUGCAGCUGCUGUCUGGGCGUCUGGAGUGGGGCGACGGCAUGUGGGGCGGCUAGGCCACACGCUCUGAGAAGUUUGAGUCACCGCAAAGUAACUGCAGCCAGCUGGGAAAGAACAGCUGCAAACAGAAAAGGUUGGUGUCCUGCUCUCUGGAGGCCAGGCCAGAGUGGCGAGAGGAUGAGGAACAGAGAAAUGGAAUUCUAAAGUUAAAAAAGAAAUGACCUUGAGCAAGCCCUGAUGGUCUAGUGGUUAAAAUUGGGUGCUCUCACCGCUUUGGUGGUCCGGGUUUGUUUCCCCGUUGUGGAACCACACCACCCGCUGUCAGUUGUCAUAUUGUGGUGGCGGCUCACAUAGACAACUAAAACUAACAACUAGGAUACACAACUAUGUACUGAAGCUUAAAAAAAAAAAAAAAGAAAUGGUCUUAAUUCAAACUGACUUAUAGAUGAUCCCCAGGGAAGAAAGACAUAGUGUAGGGAACACUUUGAAGAACUCACAUUAAAGUAAAAUAAAAAUAAAUAAAUAGAAUGUAUAAAUAGAGAUAUUCUGCCUCUAUGUGAAAAAGUUAUCUAUGAUUCUUAUAUACAGCUUGGGUUAUACAGAAAAGCAAACGAAGACACAAAAUUGACCUGUCCUGUUACCCUAGGAGAAGGAAACUAUAGGUGCAUGAGAAGCACUGAAGAUCCAGAAGAGCAUCAAAGCCCAGAAUAAGCUGAGGCUUACACAAAUGCUGAAGACAACAAGACAGUAAAGACAAGUCUUAUGUCUUGAGCAGGACCAAGAAAGACACAUGCUCACUAAGUGGAAGAUGAGAUGAAACAAACCACUUGGUUCUCUCCGACGUUCAUCCCACUCUAGCUGCAUACCAGCCUGGCAGUUUGAAACCCUGGAGAGGAGGACAACUAUUAAGAGAUUAAAGACAUCAUGUGUCCUGGAGGCUAAGGGAAUUAGCACGUGGGAUCACAGAAGCAUUGUGGAUAAUUUUUGAGAAAUUGUCAGCAAUGGGAAAGAAAUGUUACAAGUGUUGGCAUGUGGGAUGUCAGGAAGAAAUAGUUGCUUUUUACCUCCGUACUUCUGAAAAGAAGAGCUUGACACAUAUUUUAGCACCGAUUUUCGAAAGGAGGAGAAAUUGGCACCCGUGGCGGGUGAUGACCCAGGUGAGUGGAACGGAAGGGCCUGGAAACCCUCCUUGCUUCAUCACCGCGUCUUCUCAAGGAAACCUGUGCCGCAAAGCUCUCUCUGCCUAGGAGGGAGAAACUGGAGAGAACAAGGCAGAAACAUGCCCUUGUUUGAGCCUGCAGAGGAGCUGGUCAACCAGUUUUCAUAUUUCAAGUGCUGAGAGCCAUGUGCUAUGGGCAGAAAGAUAUGUAAGGUAACUAUCUUGUCUGCAGGACAUUCACUAGGCACUCAGGUGUGGUGUGGUCAUGGUCCUACAUAAAAAUGGUAACAAAUGAGGCGCUGGCCCGGUAGCGUAGUGGUUAAGUUCUCACGGUCAGCUUCAGCAGCCCAGGGUUCACAGAUUUGGAUCCUGGGCGUGGACCUACACACUGCUCAUCAAGCCAUGCUGUGGCAGCAUCUCAUAUAUAAAAUAGAGGAAGGUGGACACGGAUGUUUGCUCAAGGCCAAUGUUCCUCAGCAAAACGAGGAAGAUGGGCAACGGAUGUUAGC